This 490-nucleotide ribosomal RNA is filed under the name uncultured bacterium. RNAcentral describes it as "partial 16S ribosomal RNA". It matches the Rfam family "Bacterial small subunit ribosomal RNA", at positions 30 to 507 of the family's 1533-position model. The record is from RNAcentral.
AUUGAACGCUGGCGGCAGGCCUAACACAUGCCAGUCGAACGGUAACAGGAAACAGCUUGCUGUUUCGCUGACGAGUGGCGGACGGGUGAGUAAUGUCUGGGAAACUGCCUGAUGGAGGGGGAUAACUACUGGAAACGGUAGCUAAUACCGCAUAACGUCGCAAGACCAAAGAGGGGGACCCUCGGGCCUCUUGCCAUAGGAUGUGCCCAGAUGGGAUUAGCUUGUUGGUGGGGUAACGGCUCACCAAGGCGACGAUCCCUAGCUGGUCUGAGAGGAUGACCAGCCACACUGGAACUGAGACACGGUCCAGACUCCUACGGGAGGCAGCAGUGGGGAAUAUUGCACAAUGGGCGCAAGCCUGAUGCAGCCAUGCCGCGUGUAUGAAGAAGGCCUUCGGGUUGUAAAGUACUUUCAGCGGGGAGGAAGGGAGUAAAGUUAAUACCUUUGCUCAUUGACGUUACCCGCAGAAGAAGCACCGGCUAACUCCGUG